UACGGGGGGGGCAAGCGUUGUUCGGAAUUACUGGGCGUAAAGGGCUCGUAGGCGGCCAACUAAGUCAGACGUGAAAUCCCUCGGCUUAACCGGGGAACUGCAUCUGAUACUGGAUGGCUUGAGAUUGGGAGAGGGAUGCGGAAUUCCAGGUGUAGCGGUGAAAUGCGUAGAUAUCUGGAGGAACACCGGUGGCGAAGGCGGCAUCCUGGACCGGCAUUGACGCUGAGGCGCGAAAGCCAGGGGAGCAAACGGG
RNAcentral lists this ribosomal RNA (253 nucleotides) under uncultured bacterium. RNAcentral describes it as "partial 16S ribosomal RNA". It matches the Rfam family "Bacterial small subunit ribosomal RNA", at positions 524 to 776 of the family's 1533-position model. The record is from RNAcentral.